This is a non-coding RNA of Leptonychotes weddellii (Weddell seal), 591 nucleotides long. The record is from RefSeq and is a predicted model, not a curated record. Lineage: Eukaryota; Metazoa; Chordata; Mammalia; Carnivora; Phocidae.
GGUCCCCGUGUUUCUGGGAGGUGAGGCGGGAGGGAGUGACCCCCCGCGCCCCUUCAGUCCCCCUACUACGUCGCCUCCAUAGCCUGCGGAGAAGCGGGGACCGCGCGCAUCGCAGCGCAUCGCCUCACAGCGGAACGCCGCGCACUCGGAGCCGGCGCGGCUCGGCGGGUUUUGGUUUUUUGCACUGAAUGUAGUCUAGACUCAUCUUCACGGGCUUGUGUUGCCCCAGGAUACUGUCAAAGGCAGUAUUUGUGUGUUUCUGCAGAGUUUUGCACAGAGUCUGUUCCCAUGCAAACCAAUGAGGGAGAAGUGUCGGAAGAAAGCAGUUCCAAGUGGUCUUCUUCCCCAAAACCCGUUGUCCCACUCUGAUCAUGAGAAAAACAUCAGACAGAUCCUGACAGAGGGAUGUCCUACAAAAUACCUGACCAAGACUACCCUCGAAACUGUCAAGAGAAAACAAGAUACGUCUGAGAAACUGUCCCAGCCAAAAGGAGUCUAAGGGGACAUCAUGACUAAAUGUAAUACAAUAUCCUAGGUGAGAUCCUGGAAUAGAAUAAGAAUGUUAGGUAAGAACUAAGAAAAUUUGAAUAA